AUCCAGCUAACAAGUCUCAAAUAGGACGAAACGCGCAUCCGGGAU
RNAcentral lists this non-coding RNA (45 nucleotides) under Schistosoma mattheei. The record is from RNAcentral. Lineage: Eukaryota; Metazoa; Platyhelminthes; Trematoda; Strigeidida; Schistosomatidae.